GUAACGUCAUCAACAGCAAGUGCUACUCUAACUCCUACUAUUGUAUCAAGUACUUCAUCAGUCAUUAGUGUUACAGGAUCAUCAACAAUUUCUUAUUCUACUGAGACAACUACCAUGACUACUCCAUUGACUAC
Molecule: long non-coding RNA, 134 nt
Organism: Amphimedon queenslandica
Lineage: Eukaryota; Metazoa; Porifera; Demospongiae; Haplosclerida; Niphatidae
Exons: 3
Source: RefSeq, a predicted model, not a curated record